Bombus impatiens (common eastern bumble bee) is the source of this 2063-nucleotide long non-coding RNA. RefSeq lists it as uncharacterized. The transcript is spliced from 2 exons. The record is from RefSeq and is a predicted model, not a curated record. NCBI's taxonomy places the organism in Eukaryota, Metazoa, Arthropoda, Insecta, Hymenoptera, Apidae.
UGUCUCUCGCCGUAAUUAAAGAACGUGCACAUGACACAAUCCAAUACUCGCGUUAGCUAACUCAAAUCUAAUCAAAACGAAUUUAACCGAAACAUAUGUUUAACAUAUUCUAAACGGGGACUUACAUUCGAUCAACAGUCAAAAUAAUUUGACAUUUCUAAUCGGAAAUUUGAGAAUCGAACAUCUAUAAAAAUAGAAAAAGGGAGAUUACUCUGUGAAGAAUCGCACCGCGCAUAUAACAUUAAGAAAUUAAUAUUCGCGACAUCAAAUUGGCAAACAUUUAGGAAUAGAGCGUAACAGAGUUUACGUGAACCGUCCACGAAAUGAGAGUAUCAAAAUAAUUUCUAUUUAGAAUUGGCAAAGAAUUGUGUGACGAAUUUUUGUUUUAUGACAUCAAAGACGCGGUUGUGUUUCUUCGGUGAAGCAGAGAUCUCGCCUAUUAAGGGGAAUCUAGAACUUAUAUCGUUUACAACGUAAGCGUGUUAGUCUUUUUCAUGAUUAGACCGUGCGUUGAUAACCAUCUUUAAACGCGCGCAAACGGAUAAUAUCGUUGACGAUGAUCGAUUACCUUGAAGGUGGAAGGGAGAAAAAAAAAGAACAUUGACAUAAUACCAGCGUUCCUAGGAUUUCUAACGCUAAUUGGAUUAGGUGAUACCGAUACUUUUGACGCGUUAAGGGGACAUAUACUAGACGUGUACUUAGUCCUUAAGUACGGUUAGCUUAGGAUCCUUACUAUUUUAGGUUACUAUUUCAUACGGUGAAACGUCGUUGCGCGUUUUUUCUUUUCGUCCAACGAAAGUAAGAACACUGACCGAUUUACACUCAUAACGAUGAAAGAAGAAAAAGAAAACAAAAAAAAAGAAUAUUUAAAAAAUACAAAAAAAAAAAAAAGAACAAACGACCAGUAGAAGCAAACAGUAUAAGCUUCCAAAACAAUCAAGUACUACCCAAGCGACUUCUAUUUCUUUGGAACGUGAGAAAUGUAAGAGACGUGAUUACAAACAAAUGACAAACGGACACACACCUUUGAAUACCUUUUCCUUUUUUUCGCACGUAGAAGGAGAACUUAGAGCGAAGAAAUACAACGCGGUUCACAGAUACGAGUAUCGACUGUCUGAUUCAGUCGCGGAAGCGCGAGGAGCUUAAAUAGGCACGUUCUCGGGGUGCGUUUCAGACGCUUACGGACAAGAGAGAAGGAGAAAGACGAGACCGAAAUUUCGGAUACUCCCACGAUGUUCACGUGACGUUUACUGACUCUCGUCCAGAAAUACCACCCGAUGAACAUAUUUAAAUGCCGAGGAGGGGCAGAAUCUCCAAGAGCGUGUAAUCCAACCUCUGAUUCACUGUUUUGAAUAACUUUGGCACGCUGCAUGUGUGGAACUCUUCUGUUUGUCUCCGUAAUUUCAAGGAGACCAAUUUCAAGGAGACUUAAAGGAAACCACUCUCUUUAACGAUCCAAACUUUCUUUUAUUGCGUAGGUUUCCAAGUUUGGAUAUCCCUCCGGGGUGAGAAUAGAUUUGAACGGAAUGGGCGCAAUGUUGUCGCGCCCUGAUGAUUAUUCAAUGUCAGCCUUUGAUGUUAUAUAUCUCAUGAUUACUGCUGCAAAUCGCUGUUUGCUUGUUCUCCAAACUUGUGGUUAGGAAUGCGAUUCCAAUCGUAUAUACCUGCUGGUGAGGAGUUCCAUGCCUCUAACAAUCAGAACGAACGUGUGCACGUGUCGAUUAGAGAGAGUACUCCAUUCGACCGCAUGCAUUUCACGGGUAAUGGAGGGGUACGGGGGAGAUUGUCAUUUUUCAGUUUCGUGUAAUGCGGAGUAUACGAGGUCGAACUCUGCGUUAGAGAAACACCCAAGUGUAUUUUUCAAUAUAUUUCGAGGGAAUCGUUCGAGUACGAACAAUCGCUCGAGAUCAGCUUGCACUCUUAUCGCAGGUCGAGACAAUUCCGACACUCGUGAGACUAAUCUCCUGGUGUGUGUGUGUAUACUGUAAUUGCGAGUUCUAAAUGAGAACAACUUUAUGCUAUUAAAAUUGUUACUCGAAAUAGGCUCGAAAAAAGAAGAAUGU